CACUGUUUGAUCACUCACCUGCCGCUGAUUGGCAGGCGGACCACACCUGCUGCCAAUCAGCCUGUCCUAAUCACGCCUCGUCUCGAGCACUCCUCAGUGCUCCAAGGUCACUUUGUGUGAGGAACUAGCAUGGCUGCAGGUUUCGAGACCACCAAGAUGCAGGAACCGGCGAACAACGAGAAGUGAAUCACCUGAGACAGAUAUUUGCGUCUGCAUUGGACGUGUUGCCAUGACGACCUGCUGGCAAAAGUAACUAAAACGUGGGAAGAGCCGACAGCAGAAUCUCUUCAGAGGUCGAAGAUGGAAGCUCGCCGUCAUGAUGGUAGAAAAGCGCUAUAGAAAUUGUGGAGGAGGACGUGGUCGGCGUGGCUCCCGUAGGAAUUGGGUGUGUACGGCCGGCCUUGAAGCCAGCGACAGCAGCAGCCGGACCGAGACACGACACGUUGGAGUGGGAGCAGAGAGACUCACAAAUAGAAACUGAGAGCGGAAGCACAGACUGCUGGAAAGCAAGCCUUCCCCGUGUGUUGAUGUCAAUAAAAGACUUGACUCAACCUGUCUACUGUGCUCCCGAAGAUCUGUCGACAUCAGGAGAACCCACUACCUGCAGAGACGUUUACACAAGUAUAACCCAUUUACCAUUUUUACCAAAAGAUAUGGAUUUUUUUUUGUCAAAAUUAGUAUAGUAAAACAAUAAAA
Nerophis ophidion (straightnose pipefish) is the source of this 696-nucleotide long non-coding RNA. RefSeq lists it as uncharacterized. The transcript is spliced from 4 exons. Lineage: Eukaryota; Metazoa; Chordata; Actinopteri; Syngnathiformes; Syngnathidae. The record is from RefSeq and is a predicted model, not a curated record.